CCUACGGGAGGCUGCAGUGGGGAAUAUUGGGCAAUGGACGCAAGUCUGACCCAGCAACGCCGCGUGAAGGAAGAAGGCUUUCGGGUUGUAAACUUCUUUUAAGGGGGAAGAGCAGAAGACGGUACCCCUUGAAUAAGCCACGGCUAACUACGUGCCAGCAGCCGCGGUAAUACGUAGGUGGCAAGCGUUAUCCGGAAUGACUGGGCGUAAAGGGUGCGUAGGUGGUUUGGCAAGUUGGUAGCGUAAUCCCGGGGCUCAACCUCGGUGCUACUACCAAAACUGUUGAACUUGAGUGCAGGAGGGGUGAAUGGAAUUCCCAGUGUAGCGGUGGAAUGCGUAGAUAUUGGGAAGAACACCAGCGGCGAAGGCGAUUCACUGGACUGUAACUGACACUGAGGCACGAAAGCGUGGGGAGCAAACAGGAUUAGAUACCCCUGUAGUC
Molecule: ribosomal RNA, 442 nt
Filed under: uncultured bacterium
Lineage: Bacteria
Description: partial 16S ribosomal RNA
Rfam family: Bacterial small subunit ribosomal RNA
Source: RNAcentral